GCCGCGGUAAUUCCAGCUCUGAAGGUGUAUACCACCGUUGUUGCGGUUAAAACGCUCGUAGUUGGAUCUACGUUCGUGGGGUCGGUGUUCUCGUUUGAGUUCUACUGACUACCUGAACUGAAACAGCUGGUUUUCCCUUGGUGCUCUUUAUUGGGUGCCCUGGGUGGCUAGCAAGUUUACUUUGAAAAAAUUAGAGUGCUCAAAACAGGCGCAUGCCUGAAUAGUGGUGCAUGGAAUAUUGGAAUAGGAUCUUGGUCCUAUUUUGUUGGUUUUCGGGAGCCAAGAUAAUGAUUAAGAGGGACAGACGGGGGCAUUCGUAUUGCAGCGUUAGAGGUGAAAUUCUUGGAUCGUUGCAAGACGAACAACUGCGAAAGCAUUUGCCAAGAAUGUUUUCAUUAAUCAAGAACGAAAGUUAGAGGUUCGAAGGCGAUCAGAUACCGCCCUAGUUCUAACCGUAAACGAUGCCAACUCGCGAUCUAGUGGUGUUAUUUAUGACCCGCUAGGGAGCGUCCCGAAAACGAAAGUUUUUCGGUUCCGGGGGAAGUAUGGUUGCAAAUCUGAAACUUAAAGGAAUUGACGGAAGGGCACCACCAGGAGUGGAGCCUGCGGCUUAAUUUGACCCAACACGGGAAAACUCACCCGGCCCGGACACCGUAAGGAUUGACAGAUUGAGAGCUCUUUCUUGAUUCGGUGGGUGGUGGUGCAUGGCCGUUCUUAGUUGGUGGAGCGAUUUGUCUGGUUAAUUCCGAUAACGAACGAGACUCUAUCCUACUAAAUAGCAAGCGGAUCAGCCCAGUCCGCAGUGCUUCUUAGAGGGACAAGCAGCUUUUAGCUGCACGAAAGUGAGCAAUAACAGGUCUGUGAUGCCCUUAGAUGUCCGGGGCUGCACGCGCGCUACACUGAAAGGAUCAGCGUGCAAGAUACCUUCCCCGAGAGGGGUGGGUAACCCAAUCAAAACCUUUCGUGGUUGGGAUAGGAGAUUGCAAUUAUUCUCCUUGAACGAGGAAUUCCCAGUAAGUGUGGGUCAUCAGCUCGCGCUGAUUACGUCCCUGCCCUUUGUACACACCGCCCGUCGCUGCCCGGAACUGAGCCGUUUCGAGAAGAACAGGGACUGCUGUUAGGUGGCCUUCGGGUUGCCUCUUGGCGGAAACUGUUUU
Molecule: ribosomal RNA, 1157 nt
Filed under: metagenome
Description: SSU rRNA
Rfam family: Eukaryotic small subunit ribosomal RNA
Source: RNAcentral